Molecule: long non-coding RNA, 7566 nt
Organism: Brassica rapa (field mustard)
Lineage: Eukaryota; Viridiplantae; Streptophyta; Magnoliopsida; Brassicales; Brassicaceae
Source: RefSeq, a predicted model, not a curated record
GUUUUCCUAGUUUCCUUAUUUAAACGGAAAUCGACAGUGCGAAUUUCAGUUCCCACACCCACCAUCUUCUGCUUCUAAAUAUGUGAAAACAACAUAAAACCAGAAAAUAGUAUAUACAAUAAGUAGAAUGGAAUAAACUCACAUGUGUUACGUCCCACUUGUAUACCUUAUCUUUUCCUCGGGACAAAAUGUGGAGGUUACGUGAACACGCGAUGAACGGUGGAAGAAGCCAUCCAUGAACCAGCCCACCUAUGUCGGUUCCUCUUACAGAUAGAAUAAUUAUUUUCAUCGUCUACCAUCUUUCGAUAAAUAAUGUGUUAUAUUGUACUAUUCUAUUUAUAGAAACAAUAUAUUUUGUUACAACAUAUCUUCUCCUAUCUCCUCUACCUCAUCCUCUCUCAUCCGCUUCUUCCUCCCUAUUCUCUCCUCUUCCUCUUCCUCUUCCUCUUCCUCUUCCUCUUCCUCCUCCCCUCCCCUACUCCCUCCUUUAACCCCUUUCUCCCCUCUCCUCAUCUCUCCUCUCCUCUCCCUUCCUCCUCCUAUCUCUUCUGUGUAAGAUGUUCUAUUAUAUUCUAUAACCACAAUUAAUAGUAUAUUAGUCUCAUCUUUCUUCAUCUUCCUUCCUCUCUCUUUUCUAACUAAUUGAUAUACCAUAGAUUUUACCCACUUUCAGCCAUGUUAUAUAUAUGUUUUAAGAUAUAAUUAUUAUGUUAUGGAGUAUUGUUAGAGUAUUUACAGGUUCAGGUACGUUCUGGAGAAAUAUGGUGAUUUUGGAGCCUUUUGAGUGCAGAGCUGCACAGACGCGUCAGAUGUUUAUCUAUGAAUGGAGACCUUUUCAUCGUUAGAUUGAGCCCAUCGUUUAACACAAGAUAGAGCUUUUGAGUUAACUUUCCAAUGCCGCCAGUUUGAGUUUAAUAAGCAUCUUGUAGGAGACGUUAUGCCCGUUUUACUGAAGAGUUGUCAGUCUGCCUCGCGAGAGGAAGCUGUCGAGGAGAUGCAUGAUUGUCGAUCGAUGAAACAGCAUUGCCAUCGAUCGACAGUGAUGGCCAAUCAUAUUUCAAGACCGAUUGAAGCUCAGAAGCCACACAAAGUUACCAAAAUACCCAUGGACGACCAGAAACCCUAUUUAUGUAUUUCUAAGCCAUUGUUGACGGCAACAAGCUUUUUAUUAUCCUAUUCUAUUGUUUUCUCUUAGGUUUGUAGAGAAGAUCAAUUCUCCUUCAAAGAUUGAUUGGAACUCCAUUGGUGUUAUCAUUGAUUUCUUAUCUAUUAUAUUAUUUAGACUAUGAUUUGUGUUAUUGAUUCUAUGUAUGGGUAAUCAUCUUGUUAGGUUUUGGAAUUUCAUGAGCUUUAUGUCAAACUGAUAAUAAAUUAGGAUUGCUAGAUUAUCUAUAGAUCUCUACACCAGGAUGAUUUGUAAUACUAGGAUCUGGAAUAGUUAUAAUAGCACGACAGUGUGACUAAUUGUUUGAACCUAGAAUCAUAGGAUAUUUGAGAGGCACGAAAGUGCAAUCAAUUAACGGAACCCGAACUCUGCUGGAUUAGAUACAUAGGCGCAUACGAGAGUUGGUCUAGGAAUCCAGUUGAACUAAAUCGAUUAGGUCGUUAAUGCUUGUCUAAGGAAGCAUCGGUCGACGUUCAGGCCAUAGCAUCGAUCGAUGCUCAAUCCAAGUCAAUAAGCGACAGCUGAGACUGGACUUAGAUAUCUGAUUAGUAAUUAUGUGCGAAAGCUAGAUUACUUACUUAUUAAAAUCGAGUUCUAGAAUUGAAUCUAUAAACCAUUAGCAUCCUUGAAUUGUAGUAAAAUCACUCCUUAGGGUAAUUUGAGUGAUAUCACUAAUGUUAUAUGAAUCGAGUUUUUAUACUAUUUAUUUAAUAAAUAUAGUAAAAUGCAUUCAUUAUGCAUAACACGUCAAAUUCACGUAACGAGCGAUGAAAGAAUUUUAUGUCUAUUUUUUAAGAAAAUUAACACAGUUCCCAAUAAAAUCCGUACAUGGUGAGAUACUUAAUUUCACCUCUUUGUGUACAUAUCACUAAUUCAACCAUAUAAAAUUUAUAUAUAAAUAUACUAAUAUAUUUUAAUAAAUCAUUUCUUCUGUUCGAUCGGUUUUUAUAAUGAACCAUAUCCAUACAUUGUGGUUUUUUAUUAUUUGAAUUCACCAAAUUCAAACCAAUAUCUCUAUUUCGGUUCAGUGUUAUUUUAUUUUAAUUGGUUCGGUUUUACUAGAUUUAACAGCCCUAAACAUUAAAAGUCAACAUAUGGUCAUGAUAUUCAUAUGAUGUCAAAUAAUAUAUGAUGGAAAAAAUUUAUAUUCUAUUUAUUAAGAAAUAUAAUGAUACUGACAUUAGAUACAAAAGAUAUAUCUAAUUCCCUAUCGAAUCUAGGUCACCUUUCUUUUCUCGCUUCUUCAUUUUCUUUCUUUUGAUUGUUGAAUUAGGGUUUUGAGAAUUUGUAGAUCACUAUAAAAUAGUCAGGGGGUCGAUAAAGCAUGGACAAGAUAUUUAAGCUUAAUUUAUAGAGAUAAAGUGAGAUUCUCUUGGUAAGUGUUCUUGAGUUAGAAGUUUGGCGUAUCAAGAGGUGGAGAGACAGAAGCAAAGGUAGCUUAGGAAUCUUUCGGUGGCGAUUGUCAGGGUGUUAACAAGUUUUGUAAUAUUUAUUAAGUAAAGUUUGUAAAGAUUGUUUAAAGUUAUUUCUAAUAUAGCAAAAGUUGUUUGCUAAUUCGAUUGUUUCUUGAUAUAUCUGAUGCAUUACUUUAUUUUGUUGCAUUUUGCACUUACAUUUGGUAUCUGAGUAGGUCACCAAAAUAUAAUAAUAUUGACAUAAGAUAUGUCUUAUUAUGUAUCAAAUUUGGGUUGCUUUUAUUUUCUCCGGUUCUUCACUUUCUUUCUUUCAAUCAUUGGACGUGUAAAUCACUAUAGAAUAGUCAAGGGGUCGAUGAAGCAUGAACAACAUUUAAGCUUGAUUUUGUAGAUGCUGAGUGAGAAUCUUGGUAAGUGUUAUUGAGUUAAAAGUUGACGUAUCAGGAGGCAGAAGCUAAGGUAGCUUAGGAAUCUUUAAGUAGCGAUUAUUAGGAUGUUAACAAUUCAUGUAUUACUGAUUAAGUAAGGUUUGAAAAGAUUGAUUAAAGUGAUUUCUAAUAUAACAACAUGUGUUUGCUAAUCCGAUUGUCUCUUGAUUUAUCUUAUGCAUUAUUUUACUUUGUUUCAUUAUGCACUUACAAGUGGUAUAUGAGAGGGUCGCCGACAUCAGUGGUAAGAUCUGAAGGUGAAGAUGAACAUCAUUGUUUUUAUGCAGAAGACAAUCAUGUUGAAUGAUGGGCAUUAUGGUCACUGGAAAACUCGCAUGAAACAGUUGAUUCGAGGAAUCAAUGAGGAUGUGUAGACCACUUUGGAGAUUGGAUGAGAGGAGCCUACCAUAGUCACAACAGAUGGGAAUGAGCCCAACCCUAACAAGACUUGUAAUGAAGCAUAACAAAGUGUGUCAAGAUAAAGAGGUGUGGGAGAUCUUACUAAACUUGUAUGAAGGAGAUGACUGUGUCAAGAGGAAACACAUGGAUGAUCUCAUGUCGCAGUUUAAGAAUCUUAGGUGGACUGGUGAUGAUAUUGUGGAAAGAUUUAAUGUCAAACAAAGUGCUAUAACGCAUAAAGCAUUUGUUCUUGGAAAGAAGUAAAAGAAGAAGUUGGUGAAGAAGGUUCUCAGAUGUCUUCCAACAAAUUUUGUAGAUCAUAAGGAGGGUUUGAAGAUGGCUAUAAACAUGAAUAACUCAAGUUUGAUAUAUUUAUUGGUCUUUUGAAGGCAUAAACAAACAGAGACAGCCGGUAGCUCAGUCUCUACAUUAGGGAGUGUUCGAGGAUUAUGACACUCGUGACUGACAAAGAUGGUGGUAGAUUUCAAGAGAUUGAAGAUAUUCUGAAGAGGUGGCAAAAGAUGGGGUUGCUUUAAUAAAGAGAGGCAUCGAUCUAUAAAACAUCAUGUCCGCGUGAUCAUAACGGUGGAAGAAAAAAAAAUCACUUUUUCAAGAAUUUUGAACUAGGGUUUUCAAAAGUUAAAUAUCACUAUAAAAUAGCCAAGGGAUCAAUAGAAAAUUUACCAGACACCUAAAGUUGAUUUUAUAGAGGAAGAGUGAGAACCUCUUAAUAAGUGUUUUUGGGAUCGUAAUAAGUCAGAGGUUGAUGUAUCCGGCAAUGGAAAGACAUAAGUUAGGAUAGUUUCGAAAUAUUUCGGUAGCUAUUGUUAUGGUGUUAACAAAUCAUGUAAAAUUGAUUAAACAAGAUUGCUUAAUGCAAUUUGUAUAGUAAAAUAUAUUUUAUAAUUUUAUUAACUUUUCUUUUUAUAUUUUUCAUUAUUUUAUUGUGUUACAUCUUACAUUUAUAUAUUCAUUUUUAAUAAUCGCGAAAGUAUCACUUUAUUAAUUCAAAAAUCUUUGGACUCUACACUUUAUAUUUGCUAAAAGUUGAAUUCCUCCAUUAAAAGAUUGUUUUUCUCGUUUUUAAAUCGUGGUUUUUGUUUAUGUAGAAUUAUGUAUAAUAUUUUAUCAAGUGUAUGGUGUUGGUACGUUCAUUCCAAAGAAGUUGAACUAUGCAUUUCUAGUCAGGGGCGGUUUUGAAUUGAUGAUUGACAUCUUCUAAGAGUAUCUUAGGGUUAAAGAUUGAUCCAGUCUGCAUUUUCUGCCAACCUUCCUGAUUAAUAAAGAUAAUAGAAAACCUCGUAUAACUUUUUGUCAAACAAAAACCUCGUAUAAUUUUUUAUAUCAUCGAAUGUUUUGGGUUAUCAACUAAAAAUAGGUAAAAGUAUACAAGAUGAUUAAAUUAAACAUCUGCUAUUUUACUAAGAUGAGCCGUAAACUUAGAAAACAUAUGAGGGCGUUUGAUUAUAACAUGUUCAAUUUUUAAAGUUCACUUAGGGACAAUGUUUUUAAACCCGACCCGGACACUAAACCGGAUGACUUACUGGGUCACUGGAUCGACCGCAGGUGAACCGCAGGUUAAUAAAUUAAUUAAUUUUAUUAUAUAAUAAUAUAUUAGCAAUAAAUAUAUAAAAACUAAAGUUUAAUAUUUUCUAAAUGUUUAAAACAUAAAAUAAUAGUUUAGAUAUGUAUAUAUUUUAUGUUUAAAAAGUGUUUUUAAAUACUUAAUUUUAGCUUUUAUAUUUUUAUUUUCAUUUGACAUACAAAAUAUCAAAAAAUUGUUUAGACUAUUUAAAAAUUUGUGUAACAAAGUAAGAGUUACAACAUCUAAAAAAUCAAGAUACAAUAUUCAUAAAUAUUUAAAUAAGUGAAUAUAAUCAUUCAGUCUUUAAACUUUUAAAAGAAAACAAAUAUAUUUUGAAUGAAGAAAAUCAAAAUAGAGAUGAAGAUCUUAAAAAAUUGGAACUUGAGAUUGAAAAUCUUAAUGUCUGUCUAAUGUGAAUAAUAAAUUAAACUUCAAAUUCAAAAUAAACCAAAAAUAAAAGAUCAUUGUAAUAAAUUGUCUAUAACAGAAAUAACCUAACACCAAAUCGCAUCAACUAAUUUUGGUUCUCUCUACCAUCGUUCAUUUCAUUUUCUUCUGGUGGCAUAAUGAAAUCUUCAUCAAAAUCUAAAAAUCAAAAAUAUAAAACUGAAAAGGGAAAACCUAACUUUUUUUCGUCAGCACCGGACUUCUUAAUUGGAAACUUAGAAUAUAAAACAUAAUCUAAAAACUAAAAAAAAAAGUUAUUUAUUGGUUCAACCGGUGGUUCAACCGGUAUCGGGUUCUGGUUUUUAGUGGGUUUUGGCAAGUUUUUGCGGGUUCUAAAUAUUGAGUUUUUGCGGGUUCUAAAUAUUUAAUUUAUUAUUCACAUUAAACAUUUAAAUAUUUAUAAAUUUUAUGUCUUGAUUUUUUAGAUGUCAUAACUCUUAUCUUGUUAGACAAAAUUAUAAAUAGUCAAAAUUAUUUUUUGAUAUUUUGUAUAUCAAAUGAAAAUAAAAAUAUAGAAAUUAAAGUUAAGUAUUUUCUAAAUGUUAUUAAACAUAAAAAUAUACAUAUCCAAACUAUUAUUUUAUGUUUCUAAAAAUAUUUAGAAAAUAUUAAACUUUAGUUUCUAUAUUUUAAUUUACAUAGCUGAUAUAUUAUUAUAUAAUAAAAUUAAUUCAUUUAUUAACCCGUGGUUCGUCCGCGGUCGACCCAGUGACCUAGCGACCCGGUAAGUCGUCCGGUUCAGUGUCCGGGUCGGGUUUAAAAACAUUGUUCGGAAGAUACAAAAUAAUAAGAGAGGUGUUACACAUGUGUUUUUACAUGACUCCUUUUCAGUAUUGUGGUCCUUGCUCGCCUUUAGUUUACGGAAAGAAAGAAAUACAGUACUUUUUCCGACAAGAAAUUCAGUAAUUUGGAAAUGAACCAAUUCAUUAUGGGCCAUGCAUGGUGGAAUGAGUUAUUCUCAGUUGGAAUAUCACUGUUCGAAUUCUUAGAUUGUAAAUUCAGCUAUAUAUGGUUAGAGCAGAUAAAAUUAAUAUUUUAAGAAAACUACUAUUUAUUUAAAUUAAAAUGUUUUGAAAAUGUUAAAGAAUUUAUAACUGACAAAUACAAGAAAGGUUCUAAGAAAUAUCUCAAAAACAUAUUGUAACAAUGAACUCUUCUACGUUUCUCUAUAUAUUUUUGUAAUUAUUGAGAUACUUGAUAAGUAUUUUGCAUAGAGAUAUUCUUAGUUACCCUUGAUACUUUUUCUUCUUCUUUUUUUGCUUAAAGUUACCCUUGAUACCAGUGUUUUGAAACCCGACCCAGACCCGCGGUUGAACCGGUAAACCCGACAACCUAGAAAAAAUCCGGUUUGGGUUUUGUGAAAAACCCAAUAUUUAGAAAUCCGCAAAAACCCGCAAAAACCUACAAAAACCCAGUAGAACCCGGAAUCCGAUACCGGUUGAACCACUGGUUGAACCAAUAAAUAACUUUUACUUCUUUUUUUAAUUUUUAAUUAUGUUUUUAGAUUAUGUUUUAUAUUAUAAAUUUCCAAUUAAGAAGUUAUAUACUGACAAAAAAGGUUAGGUUUUUCCUUUUCAGUUUUAUAUUUGUGAUUUUUAGAUUUUAAUGAAGAUUUCACUAUACCAGAGAACCAAAACUAGUUGAUGUGAUUUGGUGUUAGUUUAUUUAUGUUAUUGAUAAUUUAUUAUAAUGAUUUUUUACUUUUUGGUUUAUUUUGUAUAAUUUAAUUUAUUAUUCACAUUAAACAUUUAAAUAUUUAUAAAUUUUAUGUCUUGAUUUUUUAGAUUUCAUAACUCUUAUCUUGUUAGACAAAAUUAUAAAUAGUCAAAAUUAUUUUUUGAUAUUUUGUAUAUCAAAUGAAAAUAAAAAUAUAGAAAUUAAAGUUAAGUAUUUUCUAAAUGUUAUUAAACAUAAAAAUAUACAUAUCCAAACUAUUAUUUUAUGUUUCUAAAAAUAUUUAGAAAAUAUUAAACUUUAGUUUCUAUAUUUUAAUUUACAUAGCUGAUAUAUUAUUAUAUAAUAAAAUUAAUUCAUUUAUUAACCUGCGGUUCGUCCGCGGUCGACCCAGUGACCCAGCGACCCGGUAAGUCGUCCGGUUCAGUGUCCGGGUCGGGUUUAAAAACAUUG